This 68-nucleotide transfer RNA is filed under the name Echinococcus multilocularis. Its description in RNAcentral is "tRNA-Gly". Lineage: Eukaryota; Metazoa; Platyhelminthes; Cestoda; Cyclophyllidea; Taeniidae. The record is from RNAcentral.
AUGUUGCUAGUAUAAAUGUUUGUAUUAUGUUUUUUUUCCAAAAAAAUGAUCUAGAGUUAGGCGAUAUA